This 27192-nucleotide long non-coding RNA is filed under the name Prunus persica (peach). RNAcentral's name for it is "long non-coding RNA (PPER_LNC000213)". The record is from RNAcentral. Lineage: Eukaryota; Viridiplantae; Streptophyta; Magnoliopsida; Rosales; Rosaceae.
AAAAACUCUAUGUUUCUUUAUAAAUAUCCAACAACAAAUCUUAACCUUCAUUCUCAUUCUUCACUAAGCGCUUCACCAAAAUGGCUUUCUACAAUACAAUAAAACACCUUGUAAGCCUCAUUGCCCUAUUCUAUGUAGCUGAAGCAGUGCUAAAAAAUUUGACAGCACAAAGUUGUGGCUGUGCCCCAGAGAUAUGUUGUAGCCAGUAUGGCGACUGCGGCAGCGGAGAUGGUUACUGGGGCCAGGGUUAUAAAGAAGGCCCUUGUACUAGCAGCGGUGGCAGCACAACUACCACACCAAGGAGCAAUGGUAGUGGUGGUUCGUCGGUGGCUGAUAUUGUAACCCCAGAAUUCUUCAACAGGAUCAUUAACCAAGUGUUUAGGCCUAGUUUUUACGAAUCCAAAAUUAAAGCUAAUUGGUCCAAGUACAUGAUUUGGGCUUUAAUUGUACAAGUAUAAGUCAAAUACUUAUAAUUUUUUUUAUUUAAUAAGAGCUAUGUUUCUUAUAAAAAGAAAAAGUGAAGGGUAAAACAAAGUUUAAUUGGGAUUUAUUGUUCGAGACACACAUGUAAAUAAUUACAUUGGUGAACUGUUUAGGUUUAUUCUAAUGCUUUUUCUCUUCUUCAUUUGCACGUAUUGUUUAAAUUUGAAUUCAUUUGGAUAUUGUGAGACUAAAGCUACUUCGUUUUGCCAAAAAGAUUGUUAUAAUGGUAGACAUUUCAAACUUGGAAGUUCUGAAAUUGUUGCAAAACCAGGGAAUGGUACUGAGGAAGAUAAGGAAGGAGCUCUUGCUUUAGCAAAUGCAACAGAGAUGGCUCUGCAAUUUCAUGACAACCCUAAUUCUACAGUGAAAGGAACAGCUAAAUCUAUUGCAGUAUUUUUAGCCACUCGAUCCUAUCAAUGUCUAGAUAUACAUUAUGAAGGUUCCUUGCCAGAACCAUAUUUUAUAGGGAGAAGUAGGAGGGCAGCAGGGUAUGAAGAUGAGAAGAACGGGCAUGAGAAAUCAUGAUCAAAUUAGAAAAACGUGGAAAGAGUUGUUAAAAUGAAGACGUGUUGGAGGAUGUGCCAUUGAGAAGAAGUAGAUGCGUGGAAGGCAACAGGUCUAGGCGACCGCUCGUGAGGGGACAAGUAAACGAAAGAGCAUACUCUUGAUGUCUCCCUUGCAGCAUGGAGUGCAUCUAUAUGAAACCGAGAAUAUGUAAGAGCAUUUCCAGCAGGGCUGGAAAACUCGGGCUGGGGGGGGUUGGGGUUUGGGGCAAAAAACGAAGUCCAGCAACAAAAGUCCAGCCCGGGCGAGAGUGGGGGCCACCAAAACGGGCAGGCCCGAAGGCGAAAUCGGCCCGAGCUCGGGCCCGAAGUCUGGGACAAAAUAGCUGACGCCAGCAUGGCGUCAGCCCUGAAAUUUUGAAUUUUUUUUUACCGUUGGCGCGUGCAUUGCACGCGCCACGCGCCAACGUUAAAAAAAAUUUCAAAUCAGCGCUACAGUGCCGCCAACGGCUCUUUGACACGUGGCGGCCUCUGGUCGCUCCGAUUGGAAUUUUUUCUUCAAUCCAACGGCAGCCAAUUUUUCUGCCAAAAAAAAUUGAAAAAAAAUCGAAUUUUUUUUAAAAAAAUCGAAUUUUUUUUAAAAAAAUACACAAAAAUUACAGAAUUUUUUGUGUAUAAAUACCAACCAAUACUCUUCACUUUUAACACCAACUCCUCAUAUAUUUUCUUCUCCUUCUACUAUUGUUCACUUUCUCCUCAAAUUUUAUUCACUUUCUAUUUAAUAUUUUUUCACUUUGAAGUUGUAAUUUUUUUCUAGCAUAUUAUGGGUUCUUCUAAUGAAAAUGGAGGGGCAUGGAGCAUGAUGGAAGAUGUUAGCUUGUGUGAGGCUUGGGUCCAAGUUAGUCAUUGUCCCGUAACGGGCAAUGAGAUUAAAUUUUCUCAUAUGUGGAAAAAAAUUCAUCAAGCAUUUUGUGAAAGGGCAAUUGGUUCUACACGUACAGAAAUGACAUUAUCUCGUAGGUGGAAAGUUCUUAAUAAAGAGUUGGGGAAAUGGAGAAAUGCCUUAGCAAAAGCGAUUGACAACCAUCGAAGCGGAGAAAAUCUUAGCAGUGAGGUAAAUUAUUUGUCAUUUUUCUUCUAUUAAUUUCUAUGUCAUAUUAAUUUUUAUUUAAAUGUUUCUUGCAAUUUAUAUAUUUUGUUAAUAUGUCUCUAGUUUUUUUUUAAUACAUGUUGUAUUUUUUUAUUAUUUCUUUAAUUUCCAUUAGUUUUUUUUUACAUGUUGCAUUGCCAAUAUUUUAAAAAUUCUCUUGCAUUUCCAUUUCAUUUUUUUUAUAGAUUAUACAAGCACAAAUGUGGUUUGGUGCUACUGGCCAAGGGAAAAAAAGUUUCAACCAUACCCAUUGUUGGGAGGUGGUGAAGACUUGUAAGAGAUUCCAAAUUAUUCCAACCGGUCCGACGGUAGUCUUGAACGAGACUCCACUUCGUGAGACGCCGGCAUCGGAUUCACCUAUGGAUUCCCCGAUGAAUCUAGACUCACCCAUUGAAAAUGAACCAAGGCCUAUUGGGAGGAAGGCGGCGAAGGCGAAGAGAGGGAGUAAUUCUAGCAAGAAUGCAUCUCAAUUUUUGGAGGAACUUUCAAAGCACCAAGCCAUGAGAAUUGAAAUGGACUUGAAACAACAAGAGCACGAUAUGGCUAUUCAAGUAGAAUAUGCAAAAGAAAGGGAGUAUGUACGCAAAGAAAGGGAGUAUGUACGCGAACAAAACAUUGAAAAACAAGAUCGGGAAACCAUGGCCAUGGAUACAAGCCAUAUGUCCCCUGAAACAAAACAAUAUUGGAAGCUAGAACGAAGGGAUGUUAUGAGACGAAGACUUUUUCGUGACGAUGGACCUAGCAACACGGAUUGGUUAAAUGAUGGAAAACAUUAAAAUAGUUUGUUUACCUUUCAUGUCUUAGUUUACUUGCCUUUGAUUUCAUUGUAUUUUUUGUUUUCUUUAAUUCGUGUACCUUUGAUUUCAUUGUAUUUUUUGUUUUCUUUAAUUCAUGUACCUUUCAUUUCAUUGUAUUUUUUGUUUUGUUUAAUUCAUGUAUUUUAUUUUAUUAUUAGUUGUAUUGCUUUUCUUUUAGUCAAUAAAGAAAAUAUUCAACAAAAAUCCUUUUUAUUCAAAACAUUCCAUACAUAAAAAACAAACCACAACCAAAGCAUAAAAAAUAAACAACCCACAACCAAAGCAUAAAACAUAAACAACCCACAACCAAACCAUAAAAAAUAAACAACCCACAACCAAAGCAUAAAACAUAAACAACCCACUCACAACAAAAAAUAAACAACAUACAACAUAAACAUAAUAAUGUUGUAAAUAAUAUUGGUGAAGCCCACAUAAAGAAGAAAUGAUGGUGUUAGAAGUGGGAUGAUUAGUCAAAAGAUGAAAUUAUAAUGUUGGGGAGAAAUCAUUAUGUCUCCAUUAGAAGCCUUUUACUUUGCCUAUAAAUAGGCUUGCUCAUUCACUUGUAAUACACACCAAAGAGAAGAGAAGAAAGAGUGAGGAAAGAAAGAACGGAAGAGAGAAAGAGAAAGAGUGGGAGUUAGAGAGAAGAGAAAGAGUGGAGUCUAUCUGAGGAGAAAUUAUGUCAGUGUAAACACUACAAAGAGAAAUAUAAUCCCACUCCCAAUAUUGCAGUGGUACUUCUCAUCAACUGAUUAUUCUAGUUUUAUAACAAAUAAAAUAAAAACAACUUCUUCACUUCACUUUAUUCACCUUCAUUUCCUUCAUUGCCUUUCACCACCCAUAAAUGCUCCAUCAAGUCAACUUGACGGUGUUCAUGAAUAUACGACUAUUGCAUCUCCGUGUAGCGAUCAAUCAUACGAGGCAUGAAACUACCGUCUCUAACCAACGGUUCAUGCUGCACUGCUUCUCCAUUUGGCCCCACUGGUUUUUCAUAAAUUCGUGUUAGGGCCGUGUCCAUGGGAUUUGGUUCAUACACGUCAUCAGCAUCGUAACCAUAUUCAUCUUCCACAAUCAUGUUAUGGAGGAUGAUACAAGUCAUCAUUAUACUCCUAAGCACCUCCUCGUCAAAUAGACGUGCCGCGCCCCUGAUAAUAGCCCACCGAGCUUGAAGGAUACCGAAGCACCUCUCAACAUCUUUUCUGUACCCCUCUUGAUAGCGAGCAAAAAAAUUUUCCUUAUGGGAUCGGGGAUGUGGAAUUGUUUUCACAAAUGUUGUCCACCUCGGGUAUAUGCCAUCAGCUAGAUAAUACCCGGUCUGGUAGAUGGUAUUGUUAAUUUCAUAUGUGAUAUUUUGGGCUUCACCUCUCAAAACAUCAUUGAACACCGGGGAUUGACCUAGGACAUUCAAAUCGUUUUGAGAUCCGGCAACUCCGAAGAAGGCGUGCCAAACUCAUGUAUCAAAACCAGCAACUGCUUCGAGGAUGAUACUUUUCUGCCCUUUUCUAUUUCCGUAGUCCCCUUGCCAAGCAGUUGGACAAUUUUUCCACUGCCAGUGCAUGCAGUCAAUGCUACCAAUCAUGCCAGGGAAUCCUCGAGACUCAGCUUUUUGGAGAAGCCUUUGCAGGUCCCUAGGCGUAGGUCUGCGGAGGUAGUCUCUGGUGUACAGAGUUUCCACUGCAUCACAAAAUCGCACCAAGCUCUCCAAAAUAGUGGACUUCCCCAUCCGAGCAAUCUCAUCCACCUGAUCAGCAGAUGACCCAUACGCCAACAUUCGUAUCACAGCUGUGAACUUCUGCUCUGGAAGAAGUCCCAAAUUUCCAGCACAAUUUCUCUUUUGAACAAAAUAUUCAUCAUAAUUGCAAAUAUCAUGCAUGAUUUUAUUGAACAAAUGGGGUUGCAUUCUAUAUCUCCCUCGAAAAUGAACAUCAAAGUACAGAGAUUGUGGGAUAAAAUAAUCUUCCAUAAGAUUCUUACCCCGGGAAUGUCUAUGUCCGUCCACAUUUGGGCGACGGCCUUCUCGUGAACCACGGCGAGCCUGCUUUUCUUCCUCCAGCAAAGCAACUGCUAUGCCAAGUUGCUCAUCUAGUUCUCUCUGCGCCCUUUUGCUUGCAGCUCGUCUACGCAUUCUUUCUCUAGUUUCUCGCUCUUGCCUCUCCAAAACCUCUUCCAUGUCUGCCAUUGAGAAUGGAGAAUGAAAUCUAAAAUUUGAGAAAUGGAAAUGUAGAGAAGAACUGGUGUGGGAGGUAUGAGCUGAACCUCUGAUUUUAUAGAAAAAUGUACACGGAUAGAUAUGACAUGCGUCGCAAUCUUAGAGGGUGAAAAUCUUAUCUAAAAUUUGAAAUUCAAAUGAAAUUUCAAAUUUCAAAUUUAUCUGAAAUUUGAAUUCCGAAAUGUAUCUGAAAUUUGACAUUUUGAAUUUAUCUGAAAUUUGAAUUUUGAAAUGUACCUGAAAUUUGAAAUUUAUCUGAAAUUUAUCUGAAAUUUGAAACCGAAAAUCUUAUCCGAUAUGAAUAGUAUUGACACGUAGGAACCCAAAAAUCUUAUCCGAAAAUAUUAUCCAAAUUAAUUGUUUAAGUAAACAAAAUUGUGAAAAAAACAAAAAAAUGAAUAGUAAUUGCCAUGGCAAGCCCCAACUGCUGGAAACACAUUUUGCUGGAGGGGGCUAGGGCAGCCACUAUUCACGUGAAUAGUGCCUGCCCUAGGGCUAAUCUUGCCAUGGCAAGAGUCAACUGGUGGAAGUGCUCUAAGGGGAGAAACAAAAGGGGAGUCUAUUAGAGCAUUUCCAGCAGCUAAGGCUAGACUCGGGCUGGGAGGGGGGGUUGUUUGGGCAAAAAAGUAGUUUCCAGCAAUAAAAGCAAGUCCGAGCAGAUGGUGGGACCUAGCAGACUGGGCUGGCCCGAGGGCAAGGCUGAUGUCACGUCAACGUCAGCCCUGUGUCCAAAUUUUUUUAAAUCGUCCAUGUAGCGCGCGCUAGGCUCUCCGAUCAUAAUGAAAAAAAAUGGAUAAAAAUGUAAAAAAAUUACUGAUUUUUUUUUCUCUAUACCUUAUUUCCAUUUUCAACAUUUAAGUAAAUGUCUUUGUCCUUUUACUUUCAUUUAUUUUUAUAUUACUCUAUUUACUUAAGUUUACAAUGGAAAUAAGGAAGUACCCCCCCCCCCCCCCCCUCAAUUUGGAUUCAAAUAAAAAUACCAGAAAAUCAAAUUCCCACCAAAUCAAAAUAUGAAAAAUCGAUUUUAGUGCAAAAUACGAUUUUGGCUAAAAAUGAUGGCUCAUUAAGUCAAUAUAUACUUCAUAUUAAAAUUUCAUAAAAUCAAGUUUUCUUAUUUGAUGUGUAAGGAAUAAAAGCCGCCAAAAAUUAUCUUGAGAAAACAAUUAUUCCGAAAAAUCAUUUUUCAUACUUAGUCAAUAUUGCACCUCCGCUACAAAAAUUCUGGGUCCACCAGUGUCUAUAAAUACCAACCAAUACUCUUCACUUUUAACACCAAAUCCUCAUACUUUUUUUUUUCCUAUAAAUACCAACCAAUACAACUAAUAAAAUAAAAUACAACUAAUAAAAUGAAAUCAUAUCCGAAAAUAUUAUCCAAUAUGAAUAGUAUUAACAUGUAAGAACCCAAAAAUAUUAUCCGAAUUAAUUACUUAAGUAAAAAAAGUUGUAAAAAAAUAAAAAAAUGAAUAGUAUUUGCCAUGGCAAAGAGCAACUGCUGGAAACACAUUUUGCUGGGGGGGCUAGGGCAGCCACUAUUCACGUGAAUAGUAGCUGCCCUAGGGCUCCCCUUGCCAUGGCAAGGGGCAAACUGCUGGAAAUGCUCUUAGAGCAACUCCACCCAUUUGCCGUUAGCCAUGGCAAGGGUGGAGCUAGGGCAAGCACUAUUCACAUGAAUAGUGCUUGCCCUUGCAAAUAGUAAAUUGUGUCUCCACCCGUUGCCCUUAGCCAUGGCAAUUACUAUUCAUUUUUUUGUUUUUUCCUCCUAUUUUUUAAUGAAAAUAAUUAAUUUGGGUAAUAUUUUCAGAUAAGAUUUUCGGAUUCCUACGUGUCAAGACUAUUCAUAAUCAGAUAAAAUUUUCGGAUAAGAUAUUUGGAUUCAAAUUUCGGAUUAAUUUCAAAGUUCAAAUUUCAGAUAAAUUUUUGGGUUCAAAUUUCGAAUGAAUUUCAAAAUUCAAAUUUCAGAUAAAUUUGGGUUCAAAUUUCAGAUAAAUUUGGGUUCAAAUUUCGGAUGAAUUUCAAAAUUUGAAUUUCAUACAAAUUAGGGUUCAAAUUUCGGAUGAAUUUCAAAUUUCAGAUAAGAUUUUCAUCCAAUAAAAUCAAGCCACGUGGCAUGUCUAUCUUGCCAAAUUUUUCUAUAAAAUCAAAGUCUCAGCUCAUACCUCUCACACUACAUCUUUCUAUAUUUUCAUUUCUGAGAGUUUAUAAUUCAUACUUCAUUCAUUCUGAAUGGAAGAAUUUAGGAGAUGCUUGGAGAGACAAGAGAGAGAAAGAAGAGAGAGAAACCGUAGAGCAGAUGAAGUCAAUGAGUUGCAGAGACAAGUCGAUGAGCAAGUUCUCAUAGCAGUGGCUUUGGAAGAAGAAGAGAACCAAGGUCGCCGCCAUAGUUCACAAGCCGGCCGCCGCCGGAAUGUGGAAACACAUAGGCAUUCUAGGGGUAAGAAUCUUUUGGAAGAUUAUUUUAUCCCAACUUCUUUGUACUCUGAUGUUGAUUUUCGAAGGCGAUUUAGAAUGCAACCUCAUUUGUUCAAUAAAGUCAUGCAUGAUAUUUGCAAUUAUGAUGCAUACUUUGUUCAAAAGUGUGAUGCUGCUGGGGUUUUGGGGCUUCUUCUGGAGCAAAAGCUUACAGCUGUUAUACGAAUGUUGGCGUAUGGAGCAUCUGCUGAUCAGGUGGAUGAGAUUGCCCGGAUGGGGAAGUCCACUACGUUGGAGGCUUUGGUAAGAUUAUUGUGCCUUGUUUGUAGUUUUUUUUAUUUUUAUUUUGUUUUGUUUGAAGUAUGGAAUAUGUUGAAUAAAAAGGUAAUUUAUUGAAUACUUUGUUUAUUAAAUAACGAAAUCUAAUACAAGUCAUUACGAAUUACUACUACUAAAAUAAAAUACAUGAAUUACAACAACUUUAAAAGAAAACAUGAAAAAUACAAAUACUUAAAAGGUAGGCUAACAAAUUUAAUGGUUUCCAUCAUUUAACCAAUCCGUGUUGCUAGGCCCAUCAUCCCGGAAAAGUUUUCUUCUCAUAACAUCCCUUCUCAUAAAAUACAUGAAUUACAACAACUUUAAAAGAAAACAUGAAAAAUACAAAUACUUAAAAGGUAGGCUAACAAAUUUAAUGGUUUCCAUCAUUUAACCAAUCCGUGUUGCUAGGCCCAUCAUCCCGGAAAAAUUUUCUUCUCAUAACAUCCCUUCGUUCUAGUUUCCAAAAUUGUUUUGUUUCAGGGGACAUAUGACUUGUAUCCAUGGCCAUGGUUUCCCGAUCCGUGUUGUCUAUAUCUUUUUUGCGCAAAUACUCCCUUUCUCGUGCAUACUCAGCUUGAAGGGUCAACUCGUUAUCUUGGCGUUUUUGCUCCAUUUCAAUUCUUAGGCCAUUUUGCCUUGCAAUUUCCUCCAAAAACUUUGAAUUAUAAUUGCUUGAAUUACCCACUUUCUUUGCCUUCGCGGCCUUUCGGCCAAUGGGCCUCGGCUCCUUUUCCAUGGGUGAGUCUUGACUCAUAGGAGAAUCAAGAGGUGAAUCCGGUGCCAUUGAAUCACGGAGUGGCGUCUCGUUUAAUACAACAUCGGGACCCGUUGGAAUAAUUAUGAACCGUUUGCAAUAUUUGACCACCUCCCAACAUUCAUGAUGGGUGAAAUUUUUUUUGCCACCCCCGGUUGCACCGAACCACAUUUGUGCUUGUAUAAUCUAUUUAACAAAAAAAUAAAAAUGCAAUAAAUAUUUAAAAUAUAUUGGAUAUGCAAGUAACAAAAAAAUAUAAUAAUGAAAAUGCAAUUAACCUUACAAAUAAAUUAGAAGUGCAAGAAAAUUAAGAAACAAGUGGAAAUGCAAGAAAUAUUAACAACAUAUUGAAAAUGCAAGACAUAUGAACAAAAUAUUUAAAUUGCAAUAAAUAUUAACAAAAUAUUGAUAAUGCAAGAAAUAUGAACAAAAUAUUUAAAAUGCAAGAAAUAUUAACAAAAUAUUGAAAAUGCAAGCAAUAUUAACAAAUUGUAUAUAUUAGGAGAUUAAACUUAAUAAAAUAAAAAUUAUAAAAUACUUACCUCGUUAGUGCGAUUUUGCCCGCUUCUAUAGUUGUCCAUCGCUUUUGCUAGGACAUUUCUCCAUUUUCCCAACUCUUUAUUCAGGAUUUUCCACCUACUGGAUAACGCCAUCUCCGUACGAGUAGACCCCGGAAUUUUUUCACAAAAUUCGACAUGAAUUUUUUUCCACAUAUGAAAAAAUUUCAUCUCAUUGCCGGACACGGGACAAUGACAAAUUUGGAGCCAAGCCUCACACAAUGAAACAUCUUCCAUGGUGCUCCAAGCCCCUCCGAUUUCGAUAGAAGAAGCCAUAAAAAUAUGAAAUCAAAAUACUAGAUGAAAAAGAGGAAAAUGUUGAGUAUAAAGAGUGAAUAAUGGUAGAAGUAGAAGAAAAUGUAUGAGUAUUGGUGUUGAAAGUGAAGGGUAUUGAUAGGUAUUUAUAGAAAAAAAAAAUCAGAAUUUUUUAGAAUUUUUAAAAAAAAUUUACGAUUUUUUUUCAUAUUUUUAUUGCCCGAAAAAGCCUUAGCCGUUGGAUUAAUUUGGAAAAGCAGAUCGGAAGGCUGGGGAGGCGACACGUGGCAGCGUACCGUUGGAGCUGGCGUCGCGCUGACGUCAGCGUGACGCGAGUUGGACCUGGGGCUGGUCUCGCCUUCGGGCUGGCCCGAGUUGGUGGGUCCCACACCACCCCCGGGCCUGGGCUGAACGCUGGAGCAACUUUUUUUUUUUUCCUGCCUUCGCCUCGGGCUAGGCUCCCUCGGUGGAGCAGCUCUUAUAGUGGCAUGCCCCCUUUUGCCUCAUCUAUUUUUGUAGACAUUUUUGGUUUUUUGGUUUGUUCUGUUUUCUAUUGUGGUAUGAAAUUUAAUGAAAUAAUUAUUGUGUGGAAACACCCCAAGACUUUGUCGUUGAUGGACUAUGCAACAUGUACGCAUAAAACCACAAGAAAAAUAACACACACACACCACGAAGAGAGAUAAAGCAAACACACAAGAACACGAAGAUAAGGUUCGGCAACGUUACUAUGUCCUGUCUGAUGAAAGCCCUGAGAAAUUUCACUAGAACAAUAGGAACAACUUUUGUUUACAUGGAAAACCACCUUAACUCUCUACUCUAUCAUACCCUAGGCCUUAAUUUCUCUCACACCUUCGCUCAAACCCUUUGAUGCCCUUGUAACCUUCCCAAGAAUUCUGUUGUGAAUGGUUUCUUCUAGUUAACCUAGCUCCAAAAGUCCUGUUUAUAGUGUAUAGGACUUGGGUUACAAGUUUACUAAGAAUAGAAAACCAAAACCCUACUAGAUUAGGCUAAGAAACCCAAAACAAAUAGGCUAACAUGUCAAAAUGCGCCAAAACUUCAAAACAAGCAUGAGACAAGUCAUUAAAUUUUAAGCUAAUAAAUUUAGCUAGACUACCCGUAAAAACAUUUCUGGUUCCGCCCUUGAACUAAGGUCUUGUUUGAUGGCUUAGUUUCUUAGUUUUUGGUUACUUUUCAUCAAAGAUAGUGAGAGGGGAGACAGUAAAUCUGAAUUGUGAAGCAUAAGAUACAUAAGCCAGACUUUUUCCAUUCACAUCAAGAUAAAAGUUUUCUCUGUCUGCAGAUGACUGCACUUUAAACUUCCUUGCCUAACUUCUAUGAUUUUUACUUCCCUUUUAUAUUUAACUUGCAUUUUAGGUAUUAAUAUGGAGUUGUAAUUACAAUUAUGGCAGUUAAUGAAAUGCUUGGAAUACAUUAUAAAUAAAAUAUGAAGUCUAAUGGCAACGAUGUAAAAACAUAGGAAUAUUAUGACAUCUUAUAUCUUACUGGUAAUUUAAGUUUAAAAUUGAGUUUUCCACAUAGAUUUAUAAAAUGAUGGGUAUAUGUCUAGGAAAUAAAAAUGGUAGGGACCUAUAUUGGAAAAACCCUAAAUUUUAUUAAGAAACCACAAAAGGGCACAACAAUACAACAAAAAGUAAAAUCCAACCAAGCUCAGCAACAAGGAUAUACUUUUUUAGUGGAAAAUGUUGGGAACACUGACUUAUAUCAUGAUUUGAUUUUUCUUUGGCCUACAAAUCAAUUCUUUUAUGUGGAAAAUUCUUUUGACUUUGUCACUCAAAUUGUACAAAUAUGGUUGUGUGGCUUUUAAAAGGCAACGUGACGUGUGGGAUGGGCUGCCAAUUUUGAAACUUAUUAGCUUCUUUGAGAAGCUGGUGCAACAUUUAUGCGCGUGAACACUUGGCGGAUUGAUCCAUCAGAGAAGACAAAAUAAUGGUGUCAUUUGGACAGACUUGGGCAAUUGAUCCGGCAACAAGUCUUUCAUGGUUCCUUUAGCCUCGUUUGUUACGGAAGAUUGUCUUGGCAUGAACUAUUCUAAGAAAUUGUCUUGGCCUGAAUUGGCUUAAGUUGAAUAACACUUAACCUAUGUUUGGUGAUGCUUGGAUUGGGACUAAAUUUAAAUUGAUUAAAAUAUCAAUAAAUAGGACGAUAUAUUUCAACUUCUGUUAUACUGUACAAACGUGGGUUAAAAAUAUUCCAAUUUUUUUUUUUUUGCUAGUAAAUAGACCAGACCCGACCCGUUAAUUCUAGGCCAAAGUUCCCAAAGUUUUAUUUAAUAAGGUUUAUUUUUUAGGUUUAUAUAGGUUUUAAAUUUAAGGGCAUUUGUGUCUAUUUAAGUGAAUUUUUUACUAUAUUUGAAAUAUUUUAUAAAAACUGAUAUUUUUGAAAUUAAGGAUCAAGUUUUGAUAAAUUCUCUAAUAAAUACAUUAGUUUUAAGUUUUAGAUUUAUUACAUUUUUUUAUUUCUUGCUUGCAUUUAUUAACUGUCAUUUCUUUAUCUCUUUUUCGAAGCCUCAAAAGUCCAGUCAAUGGAUGGGGCCGUCUGAGUUGUUUUGUACGGUGGAAAACGUAUAAACUGGAUUUCGUGUCCUGGACUUCAAUAAUUUUUUCAUAUCUUUUAUUUAUUUAAACAACUUGGACUUCGUAGAAAUGGGGCUUUUUCUUUGGGUCAAGAAGUCAGUCAAUGGAAUACGUGUUCUCUCCGCCAUCGAUGGGGCAGCCUCUGUUUACCUCUCCUACUUUUGGGUGAAGAAGUCAGUCAAGUCUUUAUUUAUAAGAUUUUUGAAGUUGUUAAGAUAUCUACUGUGGCCAACAAAAUUCACGAACUUGCUUUCAGAAAAUAUUCAGAUAACAAUUAUUUAAUUGAGUAGACAAAUAAAUUCAAAUUCAAGUGAUGAUUUUCGCAGAGAUCAUCGCUGAAGAAUAUCAAAAAAAUAUACAAUUUGAAUCAUAAAAAAAUAAUAUUAUAUAAGUCCUACAACAGUGUUCCACAAACAAAAAAAUCCUCAAAUGAAGCUUUUAUGAGUAGGUACGAGCUUUAUUAAUUAUCCCUGACAAGAUUGUAGACCACCAUGGAAAGUCUCCUGCGGUAGUAGAUGUAAUUUGGGAAUCCAAAGAAACUAAUUUGCACGCCAGACAUGCAAGUCAAUGUCAACUCAAGUCAUACACGAUUUCUGAUAAAUUCAUGUCGGAAAAUGAAUUUCUAGGGAAGUUAUGAGCAUUUCAGACUCUAUGUUUCUCUAUAAAUAUCCAACAACAAAUCUUAACCUUCAUUCUCAUUCUUCACUAGCCCUUCACCAAAAUGGCUUUCUACAAUACAACAAAACACCUUCUAAGCCUCACUGCCCUAGUCUUUGUGGCUGGAGCACUGCUAAAAAAUGUGACAGCACAAAAUUGUGGCUGUGCCCCAGAUCUAUGUUGUAGCCAGUAUGGCUACUGCGGCAGCAGCGAAGACUAUUGCGGCCCGGGUUGUCAACAAGGCCCUUGUACUGGCGGUGGCGGCGGCACACCUACCACACCAAGCCCCAGUGGUGGUGGUGGUUCGUCGGUGGCUGAUAUUGUAACCCAAGAAUUCUUCAAUGGAAUCAUUAACCAGGCUCCUUCAGACUGUGUUGGGAAGAACUUCUACACUCGAGAUGGUUUUAUUAACGCUGUGAACUCAUAUUCUGACUUAGGUAGACGUGGUUCGGUUGACGAGUCUAAACGGGAAAUCGCAGCUUUCUUUGCUCAUGCGACUCAUGAGACUGGCUGUAAGAUAUUCCUUUCCUCCCCUCUCAUACAUACAAUGUGACAUGAACAAAUUAUAACUCCCCUCUCUCAUUAAAAACGUGCAUAUGUUACAUGUUGUGAAAUUAUAUGUUUCACAACGUGCAAUAAGAGCACGUUGUAUUAUACAACUUUUAGCAACAUGCAUUUAGUGUGCGUCGUCGAAAUGCGUUUAGUGCAUAUCAUGUCUGAAAGUUUCUAUAGUUGCUAAAUAUUUUCCAUGUAUUAAGCUCCACAAUUUCCGAAUGAAUUUCCUCAUUAUGAUAUGCACAGAUAUUUAUGUCAAAUAGUUGAUAACCUAUAAAAAUUCAAAACCCCUAUUUCUCAUAUAAAAAUUUGAUGGGUCAUAUAUAUUGUCAACAUAAAUAGAACAAACAAAAGAAAACACAGAUGAACCUAACAAAAUAACUUUUUCUCUUUCGUUCAGAUUUUUGCUUCAUAGAAGAGAGAGAGGAGUAUCGUCAAACCUACUGCGAGCCAAGCACAGACUAUCCAUGCAACCCCGACAAACAAUACUAUGGGCGUGGAGCAUUACAAAUUACAGGGAAUAAAAAUUAUGGACCUGCUGGAAAGAGCAUUGGCUUGGACCUUUUAAACUCUCCAGAAACCGUGGCCUCAGACGCUGAUGUUGCAUUCAAGACUGCCAUUUGGUAUUGGGUGGUAAAUGUUCGUAAUGCUUUAAGUCAAGGAUUUGGAGCCACAACUCGAGCCAUUAAUGGUGCUAAGGAAUGCGAUGGUCAACAACCUGACCUAGUUCAAGCCCGGGCCGCCUUGUACCAGAGUUAUUGCAGCCAACUUAAUGUUGAUCCUGGCGCUAAUCUCAGUUGCUAGAAUGCCAAAACUUAUUAAUUAUAUGGAGAUAUCGUUAAUUGCCCCCUUUAAUAUGAUAUAUAUCAAUAUAUCUUUUUUUUUUGUUUGUUCCCAAGCUAGCAUGGAAGGAGAGGGCUACCUCCUGUUGUGUACUCCACCCAUUGAAUAAAUAAAGACUAUAUAUUUCUAUUGAAUGUGUUUUUUGUCAUUCGCUAAGGAGGAGGAUGAAGCAGAAUUAUAUUGGAUUGCCUCAAGAUUGUCUUCUAUGUGAAUCGAACCCGGGUGCACUAAGGGGGGAAUGUGAGAGUUUUGGCCUACUUUUUUUACCGUGAUGCCACCCCAUGUGCUGUAUUGAAUGUUAUAUAUAUUGUUGAAAAUUGUAGGAAUCUUUGUGAAGUCUGUUUAGCGAACAUUUGUGAUUGGUUUGAUAUGAAUAUGAGAUUAGUUGUGCUGAGGACUUGUUUUCUUCUAAAUUUGUUUAUAUAUCGGCUUCUACCCUAACUUGAGAAAGAAUAAAUACUCCUUGGCAGUAAAGAUUGCUUGGAAUACAAUUCGGGCUAAUUACCUGUUUUAAGCAACUAGAAACCCCAAUCAAAUAAGGUCAUAUAAGCCACAAUUUGACUCAAGAAAAAUUCAGGCCCAAACAUGAACAAAAGCGCAUAUUAUUUUAGCACGAAUAGUUCUGUACCCUCUAGAAUCUUGUUAUUUUCACAUAGCUCUUUCCUAUCUGCCAAUCUCUUCUCCCGAUUUGUCAUUUCUCAUCACUUUCUGUUGAUCCACUUUUCGGCAUCGAACCUAAAUUUCCCUCUCAUUUACUCAAACAAAGUUCCCAACUUUCUUCUCUGUCUCACUUCUAAUUGUUUCAAUCAAAUUGAACUGCAGGCAUGCGCAGAGAAAGUAAAUUAAGAUAUUUUUUAAAAAAAAGCAUUUUCAUUCAUAACCUUCCCGAGCUCAAAUAUUGAGAUUUCUUACAAGAAUUGCCAAUAUUCCUAGAGUCAUAUCACACUACACAGAUGAUAGAACUUCCCAACUUCUCAAGAGAAAGGGAAUCUAGAAUUAUUCUAACGAGUCAAAAAAGAAAGAGCUAUGCUACAGUCAAUCACCUGCGCGAGAUUAGGCCAUUUUUUACCAUUCAUUAUUGUGGGACACAAAUUUGAUUAAUGGUAAGAAAUUGCUCCCUUGUUCUUAUUUACGUUUGUCUUUCCUUCGAAGUCAUGAUCAUGUGGUGUUCUAGUGUUCCUAUUGUCAGUUCAUAUGGUAUAAGCUUCUCCUCAUUGUGGAUUGUAUUGGCACUAGUUUGCCAAGCACCUCUUUCUUUGCAUGGUCUCUGGGUCACUCGAACAGGAACCAACUCUCUUCUGUAAUCCAUGGUUCUGUCUUGAGGCAACAGUUUACUGUAUAUGGAAUCCAGCUGAUUUAUCUUUUCGAAUUCGAAAGCUACUUCUGCCAAGAAUGUUAUUAUAAGAUAUUGGCUGCUUUAAUUAUGAAGUUGGAUUAAGUCUAUUUGCUUUGUUUGAUCUAAUCAGAUCAUAUGGCAAUUUUGUUCAUAUAUUGACCAUUAAAAUUCCUGUGGAAGAAAUGACUAUCAUUAUCAUUGUUUUUGUAAGUAAUGUAUGGUAUCAAAAAAUAUUAAUACUGGUCCCUUCCUAUACGAUUAGUUUUUUGUCGCUACCUAAGUCUGGUGGCUAGGGUUUGCGUUGUCUAGUGCUCACGUCCUUUUGCAGAGAGCUCUUUCCAUGCCCAUAAGGCGUCCCUGUCUGCAUAGGAGUGACGAAGGUGACGGGCUCGUGACACUCUAGGGUUCGGCGUCGUGUUUUGUGAAGGUUUUUGGGCGAGAUCUAGAGUGGACUUUGGAGGCGUUGAAAGAUAUCGUUCAAGGAUUUACCACUAACCUGGCAAUCUCGGAGGUAGAUGCUUUCGAGAUUGUAGGCGUGGAGGAGCUGAGUAAAUUGAAGGCUGAUCGUUUCCUUUUGGUUGGGCGCUUACUCAUAACCAAGCCUGUCCAUAAAGAGCCGCUGUUUGGUACUAUGAAGAAUAUCUGGCGUACAUUGGAGGAUAUCACUGCGGUUCCUUUGGAUGUACCCGAGAGGUUUUUGUUCUCCUUCAAGUCUGAUCUUGAUCAUAGAAGAGUGUUGAGGAGUUCUCCUUGGACUUUUGAUAAGGCCCUGUAGUUGCUUGAGGCAACAAACGGUUAUGUUGAUCUGCUGACAAUUACUUUGGAUACCCAUAACUUUUGGGUAAAGGUUAGGCGUAUUACCCUCUUGUUCCUGACUCCAGCAAUGGGAGAGAAAUUGGGCAACUACCUUGGAUCUUUUUUCAUGGUGGAUCGCAGAUUGAAUGAGGAUUGUUCGGGCAGUUUCUUGCGCAUCAUGGUAGGGUUGAAGAUAUCGAAGCCCCUGAAGUGUUGUGUUAUGCUUUGUUUAGCACUUGAUGAACUAGCAAAGUAGCACGAGAUCGAGUAUGAACGGCUGCCUUAUUUCUGUCUGUAUUAUGGUAGAUUGGAUCAUAUAGGUUCAAACUGUGAGUUGAAACGAAAAGGGGAUAUUACUACGGAACGAUAUGGACGGUGGAAGACUAUGGUCAAAGAUGUUUUUAGUAUCAGGUUAGUGAACGGUUUUACAAGGAAUAGGAUUAGACUUGGAGGCGACGAGACACAGUUGACAAUUGUGCUUCACCCCGAAGGUGGUGGGCAUUGUUUGUCUGUGAGAAGCGAUGGGAAAUGGUCGGGGAGAGAUAACCAUAGAGGAAGAUGGUUUGGGAAGUGAUCAUGUGCUACGUCUAUUCAAAAAGAGACGAUUUUCUACUGAAGGUGAAGGCCAUACCACUACAGCACCGAUGGGGAAGAGGCCGGGUGAAACUCAUAAGUGUUUAUUAGUGAGCGUCCGAGGUUCAGGAACCCAAGAGGUACUGACAAAAUUGCCAGAGACUAUGAUUGUGGAGAAGGCAUUGGUAGACUACGUCGCUGUCGAACAACUACUGGGAUUACCUUUGUUCUCUAUGGGUAAAGAGCAGAUAGGCAGUAGGGGCCUGUAUGGUGGAAGGUGCUCGAUCAAAAAACAGAGCAACAAAAGAUACAGGCCACGUAGAGAUGGUGGAUGAGGGAAAUGAGAAGUGAUGUUACAAAAGCAAAAGACGAGCCAAGCUGGUCAAUCGGUGAUGAGUCCCGAGAAUUAGUCCUAUCACGAGCAAUGACAAUCUUAUGCUAGAAUGUUUAUGGUCUGGGCAAUCCACGAACAUUUCAAGCUAUGAGAUUCCUCAUUAUAGACAAAAACGAAAAAAAAACUACUCGUCAAAUGAAAUACAUCUAAUUGCUGCUAGGUUGGGCUGGCUGCUUUAAGGUGAGCAGAGUUGGCUUGUCUGGAGGGCUUGCCCUCCUUUGGCAAUAUGGGAUGAAUAUAAUGAUUCGUUCUUCAUCGCCAGGUCAUAUUGAUGCCAUCUUUGGAGGUUUGGAGCCAACUGCAUUUAGGUUUACUAGUUUUUAUGGAAACCCGUAUAUGAAGCUGCACAAGCAUUUGUGGGAUCUAUUACAGUGGAUUGCGGGUGAUGUGAUUGGCCCAUGGCUAGUGGGUGGUGAUUUUAAUGAAAUAGUUACGGCACAUAAGUAUUUACACUGCCGAUUUCUGGCUAUGUCAUAGAUAAGGGAUUGUGGUGCAGCUCUUAAGGAUUAUGGUAUGUCGACGGUAGGUUUCAGAGGAUAUAAAUUUAUUUGGUCCAACCAAUGGAGAGGUAGUGGUAAUGUUCAGCUUUGUUUGGAUAGGAUGGUGGCAAAUGAUUUAAUGUUUCUAGCUUUCCCGGAUAUGCUUACCCAUCAUCUUAAUUCUGUGGUAUCGGACCAUCUCCCUAUCCUCAAGGAGUGUGGGUCGCAUAGUUGGGCAUGGAGAAAGCAACGUUUUAUGUUCGAGGAACUUUGGACCACAUUUGAAGGUUGUCAGGAUACCAUUACUAGUGCUUGGAGGGUUGAUCAGGGGUCUGUUUUGAGCAAAUUGCAUUCUUGCCAGGCAUCCUUGACCCGGUGGAAUAAGGAGAAUGUUGGCUAUAUUUCUACAAAAGUAAGAUGUUUGCAGAGUAAGCUAGAUAUUUUAAUGGGAAAUGAGCAAGAUGCAACAAUUGCUCUUCAACAGAAAGCUCUCUCGCAGAGCCAUCUCUCUUCCCUCCGCGAGCCUCGUCAACGUCGCCGAGCCUUAUCCUAGUCUACGAUCGUGGUUUCUCUCUCUCAUGUUUUUCUGAUGGUUUAUCUAUCGUGGUUUCUAUAUUUUCCUUUUGUUUGUUGAUGAUGCCCGUCGUCGUUCACCUAGCUAUCUCUCUUUCCUCCACGAGCCUUGUCAGCACUUGUCGAGCUUCUAUGCCGUGCUACACUGCUGUUGUUCCCUUUGCAUACCCCUUCUUUCCCUAUGUCCCAAGUGCAUACCCCCUGUUUCCCCAUGUCGACGGUGGGUUUCAGAGGGUAUAAAUUUACUUGGUCCAACCGAUGGAGAGGUAGUGGUAAUGGUAAUGUUCACCUUCAUUUGGAUAGGAUGGUGGCAAAUUAUUUAAUGUUCUUAGCUUUCCCGAAUAUGCUUACCCAUCAUCUUAAUUCUGCGGUAUCAAACCAUUUCCCUAUCCUUACGGGGUGUGGGUCGCAUAGUUAGGCAUGGAGGAAGCGACGUUUUAUGUUCAUGGAACUUUGGACCACAUUUGAAGGUUGUCAGGAUACCAUUACUAGUGCUUGGAGGGCCGCUCAGGGGUCUGUUUUGAGCAAAUUGCACUCGCUGGUUUGUUAUUUCUGUGGAUGAUUGCACUUGCAUGAUGUGGUUGUACUUGAUGAAAAAUAACAGUGAUGUUUUUGCUGUUUUUAGAAUUUUCACCAGAUUGUUCUAUUGACAGGUAUAGUGCCAAACUUAUGGCCUGAGGUUUAACCUAGACUUAUGGAACUUUGGACCACAUUUGAAGGUUGUCAAGAUACCAUUACUAGUGCUUGGAGGGCCGCUCAGGGGUCUGUUUUGAGCAAAUUGCACUCGCUGGUUUGUUAUUUCUGUGGAUGAUUGCACUUGCAUGAUGUGGUUGUACUUGAUGAAAAAUAACAGUGAUGUUUUUGCUGUUUUUAGAAUUUUCACCAAAUUGUUCUAUUGACAGGUAUAGUGCCAUACUUAUGGCCUGAGGUUUAACCUAGACUUAUGAUAUUGAUUAUCAAGAGACGUUUGCACCGGUGGCUAAGAUCAAUACCAAUCGAGUUCUAUUACCUUUAGCUGUAAACUUUAAUUGUCCAUUCAAGCAAUAUGAUGUAAAAAAUGUCUUCUUACAUGGAGACUUACAUGAGGAAAUCUACAUGUCAUUGCCGCAAGGUUAUAAGGCUCCUAAUGAUGCUAGUGCUGUAUGUAAAUUGAAGAAGGCACUAUAUGGAUUGAAGCAGUCUCCGAGAGCUUGGUUUGGGAGUUUCAGUCUUUCCAUAAAAAAAAAAUUGGUUAUGAGUAGAGCAAUGCUGAUCGUACUUUAUUUUUAAAAGGAAGAAUGGUAAGUUAACAGCUCUUAUUAUUUGUGUGGAUGAUUUGAUUGUGAUUGGUGAUUAUCUUGAUGAAAUUGGCAAACUGAAAGGCUAUUUAGCUUCUGAGUUCGAUAUGAAGGAUCUCGGUGGAUUAAAAUAUUUUUUAGGUAUUGAGGUAACUCGUUAUGAACAGGGAAUUUUCUUGUCACAAAGAAAAUAUGUUCUUGAUUUGCUAAAGGAAACAGGUAUGCUUGGUGUGAACCGAUUGGUACUCCUAUAGAACGAAAUCAUGGUUUGGAAGAAUAUCCAGAUCAAGUUCCAAUUGAAGUCCUUAUUUGUCUUAAGGCAUAGAAAGGACCUCACUAUUCAGUUUACCGUUUCAAAUGACAAUUGUUUUUUUUAAGUCAUUUACUUUGUGCGCAAGUCUAUUUUUAUUUAUUUAUUUACAAGUCUUUUAGGGUUUUAACACUACUAAUAUUGGCACACUCGCAAAUUCACAUAAGCUCAACCCUGUUUUAAGGCUUGGACAUUUUUAGGGUAAAUAUAUUUUCGCACUCCCCGUGGGAUCUCUAAUACACAUAUUACUAACAACUUAUGUUGGUAUAUCCGUUACAUGGACUAAAGUUACUUCGUUUUACCAAAAAGAUUGUUAUAAGACAUUUCAAACUUGGAAGUUCUAAAAUUGUUGCAUAAUUGCAGAAUGGUACUGAGGAAGAUAAUAAAGGAGCUCUUACUUUAGCAAAUGCAAUAGAGAAGGCUCUGCAAUUGCAUGACAACCCUAAUUCUAUAGUGAAAGAAACAGCUAAAUCUAUUGCAGUAUUUUUAGCCACUCGAUCCUUUUAAGGUUUAGAUAUACAUUAUGAAGGUUCCUUGCCAGAACCAUAUUUUAUAGGGAGAUGUAGAAGGGUAGUAGGGUAUGAAGAUGAGAAAAACGGGCAUCGUGUUGAAGGAUGUCCCAUUGGUAGAUGUGUGGAAGGCAACAGGUGUAGGUGACCGCCCGAGAGGGGACAUGUAAAUGAAAGAGCAUACUAUUGAUGUCUCCCUUGCAGCAUGGAGUGCAUCUAUAUGAAACCGAGACUAUGUAAAGGGAGAAACAAGUUUACUAGGACUUGGGUUACAAGUUUACUAGGAAUAGGAAACCAAAACCCUACUAGAUUGGGCUAAGAAAUAUGCCCUUAAAGCCAUCAAAUUAUGUAAGAGCAACUCCACCCAUUUUCCAUGGCUAAGGGCAAGGGGGGGCUAGGGCAGUUACUAUUCAUGUAAAUAGUUGCUGCCUUUGCAAAAAGCAAUGUGUGUUUCCAUCCGUUGCCAUUUUUCUUUUUUUUUUUAACCUAAACAAUUAAUUUGGAUAAUAUUUUCAGAUAAGAUUUUUGGGUUCGUACAUGUCAAUAUUUAUUAUCAAAUUCAUAUCUCAUAAUCGGAUAAAAUUUUAGGAUAAGAUUUUCAGUUUCAAAUUUUAAAUUUCAAAUUUUAGAUAAAUUUCAGAACAUCUUCCACGGUUGCCCACGUGCCCCCGGCUUCGAUGGAAGAUGCCAUGAGAUGGUGAAUAAAAUGAAAAUUGGAAGUGAUGAAAAUUUUGUGUAGAAGGUGAAAAACAAUAGAAUUUAUGAAAUUGUAUGAGGAUUUGGUGUUCAAAGUGAAGAAGAAUGGUAGGUAUUUAUAGGAAAAAAGUUCAGAAUUUUUUGGUAAUUCUUUAAAAAAAUGUCAAAUUUUUUUUUUUUCACAUUUUUUUGCCCAAAAAAAACCCAGUCAUUGGAUUUGGAAAAAAAAAAAAAAAAAAAAAAAGCAUCCGCGCAACUGGAAUGCGGCACUUGUCAAGUGACCGUUGGUCGACGUCAGCAUUGACGUCACCUCGCCUCGGGCUGCUUCCCCCAGCUAGAUGGCCCUGUCGCGUGGCACCCGCCUUGGCUAGGCUGUCUUGGCCCGCUGGAACCCGCUGCUUGGGAUCGAGCCCUGUCCUGCCCGAGCUUGGGUUUGUUGUUGGACUUGCUCUAAUAGUUAGAGUUAAAGACAUCUUUAAUAAAAGACAUAUUAUGUUAUCAAUAGGCAAGAAAGGUUGUUUUAUACAAUAAAUCAUCCUAUAUUAUCUUUCAAUAUGGAGAACAACCAUAGUCCAAGGAAUACACAAGUGGAUAUGAGAGCUAUGUAAUGAGAUUGCAUACAUGGAGACUUCUCAUCAUCCCUAAAUCCUAAAUAUGUUCAUGGUAAUAGGAAUAUUGAUUGGGCAUCAAUAUUCUGCAAAGACUUGUACACACAGUAUCGUCCCUAUAUGUAGGGAAUGGCAAGGUCUCAAGUCAUUAAGUGUGGAGACACAUCGAUAUGUGUAUAUGUGCUUGUAGAAGAACAAGUACACUGAAGGCGAUCCAACACAUGAGUUACAACAUGGAAGUCUUUACUUACAUGUCAAGCUGGAAGUCAUAAUUUGCAAUGGUGCAAACUAAUCCUUAGACCUGAGGCAUCAUAGAUGUUUUGUGGCUAUGUUGUUAAUCUUUGAGGGCACUAUACGGUCAUGCUGAAUUAGGCAUAGCUUAAAGGUGCUCAUCAGGAUUCUCAAUAGUGUCAUGGAAGUAAAUGAAUGUACAAUAAGGAAUCUCUACUCUCAGUAAAGGAGAGAGAAUACUCCAAAAUAUGAUUGGUCAAAUCUCUAAGCAGAGUAGUGGAUAAGACUUGAAAGAAGAAGUCUUCAAGUGUUACCAGGAUAAUCAUAUAAAAUGAAUGAUUCACAUUAGGAUAUUGACAAUCGGAUUCCAUGAUCUAAUAACGUGAAUAAGGAGUAUUGACAUAAGAGAAUGAUUCAAUUGCACGGUUAUUCCAAUUUAAAUAGGUUCUUACACAACGUCUCAUUUAGCUCGGAUAACUGUGACUUGCUGCUAGGCGACAACCAUGGUUUGUGAAUGUCCUAAAAGGUUUCAAUUAACCUUUAUUAAUAGAAAGAAUUAAAUUGUGGAAUUUAAUUUAUAUAUUCAAAGAAACUAGGCUAAGAUACUUUGUUUAAAAUGAAAUUGGUUUAGCUCAACUAGUAUAAACAAAAUGAAUAUGACAUUUAUAAUGUUUUUGUUGUAUAGGUUGUGGCUAAAUUUCAUUUCCUAAGCAUUAGAUGCAUGUUUCCUUCACUUGGCUACGUAAGAAUUCAUUGUCCAAUCGAACCUUCUAGUUCCUGGAUGCUCCAUAGAAAUCCAUUGUUAUUCCUUUCUUCCACCGAGAAAGUUUCAUUUCAAAUCACAAGAGAAAUUUCUCUCUCUUUUUUUAUAAGCACCGACCGUUCGUCAUGAUUGGGUGACGGUUCGCCUGGAGCAAAAUUCACAACUCGAGCCUCUCUACCAAAAUCCAACUGGUUGGCUGGCCACACCGGCCGGUAGCUUUCUUGCUGCUGCCAAAUCCUACGACUUCUUCUCCUCUCUUGUUGCUCCUUUUCAUGCAGCACCUUGGUUCCUCUUCUUCCUCCUACAUUAUGGUGAGCCAAAUCACAACACUAGCUACAUGUAAUGAGCAACUAAGGCAAGGGUGGAACUACUUCCAAGGCUAUAUAUAUGUUUAACUUGUUUUAUAUAUAGCCCAGUACGUACUAACUUAUUCAAGUCCAAAAAAGUCUAAGUCCUUAUGAAUUUAGUUGGAGAGCAUCAAUUUGAUAAUAGGUACACUUUCAAUUAUGUUGUUGAACAUAUUUUCAUUUUGAUAAUAUGUGUUUUUUAGUUGCAUUUAAUAUGUAUUGGUUUUAAGUUUUUUUUUAGGACCUUUCCUUUUGAGAGGGCCGAUAAUAUACUAAACUCACACACACUAUAUUCAUACUAGGACUUGAACCUAGGACCUUGCUUGGGAGAGCAGUUGCUCCAAACCACCACACUAGUGGGUCCUUUUGCAUAUAUGUUUUAAGUUAAAGCUUAUUGGAAAUGAACAUUUAGCUCUGCACUCAAGGACCUAAGUUCGAUUUCCCACUCACCCAAUAUCGCUUAUAUAAGAAGGAAAAAACUUAUUGGAAAUUAGUCAAUUGAACUAUGAACUAGUGUAUGUUUUUAUUUAUUUAUAACAAAACAAUACAAGCAACAGUCUAAACUACAAGUGGGAGGGGAGUUUCUCACACACACACAUUAUCAAGGUGUCAUGGAGGUUCAAACAUGAGACCAAUGGUUUGCGAGUCAAGGUCCCUUUCUAUUGGGCUAGACCCCGUUGAAGAACUAGCGUGGUUAUAUGAUUUAAUGUUUGCUUUUAUUUCUAGAAAGACUAUAGAAUCUGGAAGUACCAAAAAAAUAAAAUAUCAUUAAAUUUUAAGCUAAUAAAUUUAGCUAGACUACCCGUAAAAACAUUUCUGGUUCCGCCCUUGAACUAAGGUCUUGUUUGAUGGCUUAGUUUCUUAGUUUUUGGUUACUUUUCAUCAAAGAUAGUGAGAGGGGAGACAGUAAAUCUGAAUUGUGAAGCAUAAGAUACAUAAGCCAGACUUUUUCCAUUCACAUCAAGAUAAAAGUUUUCUCUGUCUGCAGAUGACUGCACUUUAAACUUCCUUGCCUAACUUCUAUGAUUUUUACUUCCCUUUUAUAUUUAACUUGCAUUUUAGGUAUUAAUAUGGAGUUGUAAUUACAAUUAUGGCAGUUAAUGAAAUGCUUGGAAUACAUUAUAAAUAAAAUAUGAAGUCUAAUGGCAACGAUGUAAAAACAUAGGAAUAUUAUGACAUCUUAUAUCUUACUGGUAAUUUAAGUUUAAAAUUGAGUUUUCCACAUAGAUUUAUAAAAUGAUGGGUAUAUGUCUAGGAAAUAAAAAUGGUAGGGACCUAUAUUGGAAAAACCCUAAAUUUUAUUAAGAAACCACAAAAGGGCACAACAAUACAACAAAAAGUAAAAUCCAACCAAGCUCAGCAACAAGGAUAUACUUUUUUAGUGGAAAAUGUUGGGAACACUGACUUAUAUCAUGAUUUGAUUUUUCUUUGGCCUACAAAUCAAUUCUUUUAUGUGGAAAAUUCUUUUGACUUUGUCACUCAAAUUGUACAAAUAUGGUUGUGUGGCUUUUAAAAGGCAACGUGACGUGUGGGAUGGGCUGCCAAUUUUGAAACUUAUUAGCUUCUUUGAGAAGCUGGUGCAACAUUUAUGCGCGUGAACACUUGGCGGAUUGAUCCAUCAGAGAAGACAAAAUAAUGGUGUCAUUUGGACAGACUUGGGCAAUUGAUCCGGCAACAAGUCUUUCAUGGUUCCUUUAGCCUCGUUUGUUACGGAAGAUUGUCUUGGCAUGAACUAUUCUAAGAAAUUGUCUUGGCCUGAAUUGGCUUAAGUUGAAUAACACUUAACCUAUGUUUGGUGAUGCUUGGAUUGGGACUAAAUUUAAAUUGAUUAAAAUAUCAAUAAAUAGGACGAUAUAUUUCAACUUCUGUUAUACUGUACAAACGUGGGUUAAAAAUAUUCCAAUUUUUUUUUUUUUGCUAGUAAAUAGACCAGACCCGACCCGUUAAUUCUAGGCCAAAGUUCCCAAAGUUUUAUUUAAUAAGGUUUAUUUUUUAGGUUUAUAUAGGUUUUAAAUUUAAGGGCAUUUGUGUCUAUUUAAGUGAAUUUUUUACUAUAUUUGAAAUAUUUUAUAAAAACUGAUAUUUUUGAAAUUAAGGAUCAAGUUUUGAUAAAUUCUCUAAUAAAUACAUUAGUUUUAAGUUUUAGAUUUAUUACAUUUUUUUAUUUCUUGCUUGCAUUUAUUAACUGUCAUUUCUUUAUCUCUUUUUCGAAGCCUCAAAAGUCCAGUCAAUGGAUGGGGCCGUCUGAGUUGUUUUGUACGGUGGAAAACGUAUAAACUGGAUUUCGUGUCCUGGACUUCAAUAAUUUUUUCAUAUCUUUUAUUUAUUUAAACAACUUGGACUUCGUAGAAAUGGGGCUUUUUCUUUGGGUCAAGAAGUCAGUCAAUGGAAUACGUGUUCUCUCCGCCAUCGAUGGGGCAGCCUCUGUUUACCUCUCCUACUUUUGGGUGAAGAAGUCAGUCAAGUCUUUAUUUAUAAGAUUUUUGAAGUUGUUAAGAUAUCUACUGUGGCCAACAAAAUUCACGAACUUGCUUUCAGAAAAUAUUCAGAUAACAAUUAUUUAAUUGAGUAGACAAAUAAAUUCAAAUUCAAGUGAUGAUUUUCGCAGAGAUCAUCGCUGAAGAAUAUCAAAAAAAUAUACAAUUUGAAUCAUAAAAAAAUAAUAUUAUAUAAGUCCUACAACAGUGUUCCACAAACAAAAAAAUCCUCAAAUGAAGCUUUUAUGAGUAGGUACGAGCUUUAUUAAUUAUCCCUGACAAGAUUGUAGACCACCAUGGAAAGUCUCCUGCGGUAGUAGAUGUAAUUUGGGAAUCCAAAGAAACUAAUUUGCACGCCAGACAUGCAAGUCAAUGUCAACUCAAGUCAUACACGAUUUCUGAUAAAUUCAUGUCGGAAAAUGAAUUUCUAGGGAAGUUAUGAGCAUUUCAGACUCUAUGUUUCUCUAUAAAUAUCCAACAACAAAUCUUAACCUUCAUUCUCAUUCUUCACUAGCCCUUCACCAAAAUGGCUUUCUACAAUACAACAAAACACCUUCUAAGCCUCACUGCCCUAGUCUUUGUGGCUGGAGCACUGCUAAAAAAUGUGACAGCACAAAAUUGUGGCUGUGCCCCAGAUCUAUGUUGUAGCCAGUAUGGCUACUGCGGCAGCAGCGAAGACUAUUGCGGCCCGGGUUGUCAACAAGGCCCUUGUACUGGCGGUGGCGGCGGCACACCUACCACACCAAGCCCCAGUGGUGGUGGUGGUUCGUCGGUGGCUGAUAUUGUAACCCAAGAAUUCUUCAAUGGAAUCAUUAACCAGGCUCCUUCAGACUGUGUUGGGAAGAACUUCUACACUCGAGAUGGUUUUAUUAACGCUGUGAACUCAUAUUCUGACUUAGGUAGACGUGGUUCGGUUGACGAGUCUAAACGGGAAAUCGCAGCUUUCUUUGCUCAUGCGACUCAUGAGACUGGCUGUAAGAUAUUCCUUUCCUCCCCUCUCAUACAUACAAUGUGACAUGAACAAAUUAUAACUCCCCUCUCUCAUUAAAAACGUGCAUAUGUUACAUGUUGUGAAAUUAUAUGUUUCACAACGUGCAAUAAGAGCACGUUGUAUUAUACAACUUUUAGCAACAUGCAUUUAGUGUGCGUCGUCGAAAUGCGUUUAGUGCAUAUCAUGUCUGAAAGUUUCUAUAGUUGCUAAAUAUUUUCCAUGUAUUAAGCUCCACAAUUACCGAAUGAAUUUCCUCAUUAUGAUAUGCACAGAUAUUUAUGUCAAAUAGUUGAUAACCUAUAAAAAUUCAAAACCCCUAUUUCUCAUAUAAAAAUUUGAUGGGUCUUAUAUAUUGUCAACAUAAAUAGAACAAACAAAAGAAAACACAGAUGAACCUAACAAAAUAACUUUUUCUUUUUUGUUCAGAUUUUUGCUUCAUAGAAGAGGACGAGGCGACUCGUGAAACCGCCUGCCAGCCAAGCACAGAGUAUCCAUGCAACCCCGACAAAAAAUACUAUGGGCGUGGACCAUUCCAAAUUACAUGGAAUUACAAUUAUGGACCUGCUGGAAAAAGCAUUGGCUUGGACCUUUUAAACUCUCCAGAAACCGUGGCCUCAGACGCUGCUGUUGCGUUCAAGACUGCCAUUUGGUAUUGGGUGGGAAAUGUUCGUUCUGUUUUAAGUCAAGGAUUUGGAGCCACAACUCGAGCCAUUAAUGGUGCUAAGGAAUGCGAUGGUAAAAGACCUGAC